RNAcentral lists this ribosomal RNA (505 nucleotides) under uncultured bacterium. Its description in RNAcentral is "partial 16S ribosomal RNA". It matches the Rfam family "Bacterial small subunit ribosomal RNA", at positions 29 to 522 of the family's 1533-position model. The record is from RNAcentral.
AGUGAACGCUGGCGGUAGGCCUAACACAUGCAAGUCGAACGGCAGCACAGGAGAGCUUGCUCUCUGGGUGGCGAGUGGCGGACGGGUGAGGAAUACAUCGGAAUCUCCUUUUUCGUGGGGGAUAACGUAGGGAAACUUACGCUAAUACCGCAUACGACCUACGGGAGAAAGCAGGGGACCUUCGGGCCUUGCGCGAUUGAAUGAGCCGAUGUCGGAUUAGCUAGUUGGCGGGGUAAAGGCCCACCAAGGCGACGAACCGUAGCUGGUCUGAGAGGAUGAUCAGCCACACUGGAACUGAGACACGGUCCAGACUCCUACGGGAGGCAGCAGUGGGGAAUAUUGGACAAUGGGCGCAAGCCUGAUCCAGCCAUACCGCGUGGGUGAAGAAGGCCUUCGGGUUGUAAAGCCCUUUUGUUGGGAAAGAAAUCCAGCUGGCUAAUACCCGGUUGGGAUGACGGUACCCAAAGAAUAAGCACCGGCUAACUUCGUGCCAGCCGCCGCGUAA